GACGAAGGAUGCAAGCGUUAUCCGGAUUCAUUGGGUUUAAAGGGAGCGUAGGUGGCCUGCUAAGUCAGUGGUGAAAUCUUCUCGCUUAACGAGAAAACUGCCAUUGAUACUGGUGGGCUUGAGUACAGAUGCCGUUGGCGGAAUAUGACAUGUAGUGGUGAAAUACAUAGAGAUGUCAUAGAACACCGAUUGCGAAGGCAGCUGACGAAACUGUAACUGACACUGAGGCUCGAAAGUGCGGGGAUCAAACAGG
RNAcentral lists this ribosomal RNA (253 nucleotides) under uncultured bacterium. RNAcentral's name for it is "partial 16S ribosomal RNA". It matches the Rfam family "Bacterial small subunit ribosomal RNA", at positions 524 to 776 of the family's 1533-position model. The record is from RNAcentral.